RNAcentral lists this microRNA precursor (92 nucleotides) under Canis lupus familiaris (dog). RNAcentral describes it as "mir-8799 microRNA precursor family". It matches the Rfam family "mir-8799 microRNA precursor family". The record is from Rfam by way of RNAcentral. RNAcentral also lists the same sequence under 1 other name. Lineage: Eukaryota; Metazoa; Chordata; Mammalia; Carnivora; Canidae.
GGGGGGAGCUCUGGAUCCUGGGCUGUGUCCUCCGGUGCCCUGGGCUCCCGGGCCUACCCUGCUGGAAUCGCCUCCUGGCCGGGCAGCCCCCU